Non-coding RNA from Callithrix jacchus (white-tufted-ear marmoset), 5785 nucleotides. NCBI's taxonomy places the organism in Eukaryota, Metazoa, Chordata, Mammalia, Primates, Cebidae. The record is from RefSeq and is a predicted model, not a curated record.
AUGCAGGACUGUAAGUCUACAAUUUGGUGUGAGACUGUGUGCCAAGAGCAAGUCAAUUCACUGAAGAGCUCGGCUUCUCAUAACCGAGACCUGUCAUUACUGGACUUAUGCUUCAGGACUACAUUCAAUAGACUGUGUCUUUAGAUGAGGGGAUGUAUCCUUUGGAAGGAUCACGUAGAUGUUGUCUCAACAGUUCUUCUCCCAUGGAAGUCUCUGCGGUUCCUCCUCAAGUGGGAGGGGGCCAUUUCCCUGAAGUCGAGGUUCAGGUAGACCAGGACCUAGUUGUUGCCCCAGAGAUCUUUGUGGAGCAGUUGGUGAAUGGCUUGUUGAUUGGCACCACGGGAGUCAUGUUGCAGAGCCUGAGAGCGGUUCACAAUGAUGUCCCUCCACGCCCACCAUUGCUACCUCCAGUGCAGAAUAUUCAAAUCCAAAGGAACUUCAGUGGACUUACUGGCACAGAGGCCCACAUGAGUAAAAGUAUGUGCUGUCAUUUCAAUUUUGAUCUUAACUCUGUUCCUGGGGUUGCAAGAGUUUGACUCAGUGCAAAGUAGUGGUCCCAUGCUUGUGUCACACCUCACAGAGGAGCUGAAAAAACUUGCAAAACGAGGAUGGUACUGGGAAACAACCACAUGUUGGGAGGCAGAAGGGAGCCUAGCAAAGAUGCCAGAUGGUUCUUUUCUUGUCCGGGACAGUUCUGAUGACCGUUACCUUUUAAGCUUGAGCUUUUGCCCCCAUGGUAAAACAUUUCACACUAGAAUUGAGUGCUCAAAUGGUAGAUUUAGCUUUUAUGAACAGCCAGAUGUGGAAGGACAUACAUCCAUAGUUGAUCUAAUUAAGCAUUCAAUCAGGUACUCUGAAAAUAGGGCUUUUUGUUAUUCAAGGUCUCUGCUGCCUGGAUCUGCAACUUACCCAGUCAGACUCACCAACCCAGGGUCCUGGUUCAUGCAUGUGUGCUCCCUGCAGUACCUGUGUCUUUUUGUUACAUGUUAGUAUACCAGGAUAGACUUAAUUCAGAAACUGCCUUUGCCAGAAAAAAUGAAGGAUUGUUUACAGGAGAAGCACUACUGAAAGACUGAGAACCCUACAUCUUGCACUCUGGGAAUAAGAAAAAGAGAUUGAAAGACAGUUUACAAACUUUCAUUGCCAUCAAAACCUUUUGCUGCCAUAACCAUUUCAGUUUUAUGUGUAAAAGAGUCAUCAGUUUGUUUAGGGGUGGGGAAGUGUCAGCAAGGUGUCUUGGGUUUCUUUUGGUUCUUUAAAAAGGGAAGUCUUGAGGUUUUAGAGGUGUGAAUUCUAUUUCAUCAAUGUGCAGAAUAAUCACAAUGUGAAUUAUCAAAUUCUCCUCAGUACUCCCCGCCCAGUCUUUGCUGCUAUCCACUGUGAUUUUUAUGCAUUAAAGGCACAUUUCAUGUGUAUUCAACCCUAAGUAAAGUUUAAUGAAACUUACAGAAUGGAAAUUGCUAUGUCUUUUUAAAUGGCCCAUUUUCAAAAGAUAGUGUUGAAUAAAUAUACCUGUGUGAUAAACACAGAAUUUACAUAUAUGCUGAAGAUGAGUUUUUAAUCUCUUACUUUAAAAAGAUUUAUUUAGAACCAUGAAUUGACAUAAUCUUGGGUAAUGGAAAGAAGAUGUACAACAUGUCUUUUAACAACACUUUUUUCUAAAUUAUUUCUGAGGUUGUGCUAAUAUUUUUGGUUGUGAAAGUUUGAAUUUUUCUGUUGCCUUCAUUUUCAUCUUACAGUUUGUCUAUUUUAAUAAAUGGCCUUACAUUAAAAAAUUAUAAAGAAAUAUAUACCACCAAUUUAGAAAUUGUUGCCUUUUCUGUAAUUAAACUGGGGUACAAAUUGGCAUAACACAAAAACCUAUGGAACUAGAAUUAUUAUUAAAAAAAGAAAAAAUCUGGCAUAAAUUGAAGUGUUUUCAAAGUGUGAAAUAUUUUAUACAUAUUAUAUAACUGAAUAAAUUUGAUGUGCUGGCACAUUUAGAAAUUAAUCUUAAAAUCAAAUCAUAAAAAGCUAUGAUGAGCAUAGCUUUUAUAUAUAGAAUAUUGACACAAAUUUAUAGGUGUAAAAUAUAAGUAACCUUUUAUUUCGAUAUAAAUGUUUUAGAAUAAUUCUAUUUAUGAAUUCUUACUAUAUUAAGAUGGGUGUUUACAUGUUUUUUUCUAAAUCUUUUGAUUGUUUUUAUUUGACUUAAAAUAUUCCAUUUCCUCCUCUUAGGCACUAUGAUAACAUAUCUUUGCCCUGGAGGACACUUGCCCGUUUGUUUCCUGUGCUCUUCUCUUUGCUGGUUUUAUCUUUCACUCAGGGAGCAGACACAUGAUUGGAUCCUCACUUUGAGAUUUAAUUAUCUGUGGGAGGCAACGCAUAUAUUCAUUUCAUUGAUUUCUUGCAAACCAAAGCUCACAAUUCUGACAAUACCAAUUGAUAGCAACAUUUUUAAUCUUUUAUAACUUUUUGUAGAGGUUACCGGAACAUUACACACCAACUGACUUGAUUAAUUUGUUAAACCGUGUGGGUCACAGUCUAACAAUCUAAUCCCAAAUCUAGUUCUUUAUGAUAUUUAAAUGUGUAUAAGGCAAAACUGGUUAAUGUAAAAAAUAUGCGUACAAAGUAAAAUAAAACUACUGAAGGGAGUUCAGACUUUGGAAGAGUUUUAAAAUUGUAGUGAUUCCCCUUUCCCUCCAUUUUAAUAAGUAAAAUCAGAUAUAUUGUUUGUAAAAGGAGAAUUGACUACCUUUACUCUUGACUACCUUUACUCUUUAUUGUAGUCAAAGUUGAUAAACUGGUUUCAUUUUGUAUGAUAUUCACAUUUUAACUGUGUAUCAGUACAGACAUAGAAAAAUCACAAACUUGAAAGAUUUAACUUUUAAAAACAAGCACUAUUGGGCUGAGUGCCGUGGCUCACACCUGUAAUCCUAGGACUUUGAGAGGCCAAGGCAGGCAGAUCACUUGACGUCAUCAGGAGUUCAAAACCAGCCUGACCAACAUGGCAAAACCCCAUUUCUACUAAAAAUACAAAAAAUUUGCUGGCUGGGUGUGGUGAUGAGUGCCUGUAAUCGCAACUACUCAGGAGGCUGAAGCAGGAGAAUCGCUUGAACCUGGAGGUGGAGGUUGUAGUGAGCCAAGAUCGUGGCCACUACACUCCAGCUUGGGUGACAGAGUGUGACUCUGUCUCAAAAAAGCACUAUUAGGACAGUCUAGAUGCACAGAUUAUCUUAGCACCUCAAUCAAUAGAGAUAAAAAUGUUACAAAUUAGGCAUUCUAUCAUAUUCUUCUGCUUUUUACUGAGUGAUGGAUUUUAGUGUUAAUUUGUUGUUCCAUCUUUGGUUUCUUUUAGUCUAUGAUCAUUAUUUUUAUUUUAUAGGCUGAUAGAACAUUAUGGCUGUAAAAAGCUCUAGCAUUUAUCUAGUCAGCUCUCCCAUUUUGCUGAUAAGAAAACUGAGGCUCAGCAAGGUUGCAUCAUCCAGGGCACAGAGUUAGUGGUUGAGCCUCAUCAGGAACCCAGGCACAGUAAAGUUUGUGAGAAUGUCAUUUCCUAUUAUUUUUAAUUUAUCUUUCAUAUAUUUAAAUCUGGCCUUCACAUAUCAGGUCAACUAAUAUAUACAAUAAUAAUUGAAUAUCUAAUGUGGUGUCUGGUGGUGAAGUGAGUUUUUGAAUGUCUAUGAACUGACUUCAUUAUUAUAGGUAUUUCAGAAUCUAUCAGAUUAUGUCUCCACCAUUACUUACGUACUUGUUUUGAAUUAUUUUUUAGUAGAUGUACAGGUUGUAUUACAUUUGGUUUAUUUUGUUAAGAUCAAGAAAAUAUGGACCCUAGUAUAGGGAAUAUGUUUUAUGUGUAUGAAAUUUGCUACAUAUUCAGAGGUUGAAAUGACUAUAUUUUACAAAAGAUUUUAAGUACUAUGUUUAGCAAGAAAGGUUAAAGUUCACAGAGACUCUACUAUGAAUAAACCAUUGCUCCAGGUAAUUUCCAUGAAUUAUGUAAUUUAAAAUUCAUGCAACUCUGUGAAAGAACUACUGCAUUCUGUAGAUGAGGCUGAGAGUAGGUAUAGAUACCUACUCAUGGGGUGAAGCUUGACAGAACCGAGAUUUCAUCCCAGACAUUAGGUUCCACAGCCACACUUGGUCAUAGCAACAUAAAAUAAACUAGAAAGUUUGCUCAUCACGUAAAAUUGGAUGAAAGAGCCAACACUUAAGAGAAUACAAUUCAAAUUAAUAAUGAUUCAAUAACUAGGUAUAGAUUCACAAGAUUAAAUAUAAGAGGAAAAGUUUAAAGUUAUUAAUCCAUGGAAGAGAAGCAAACUCCUAAAACAGGAGAUGUAAAAGUAAACUUUUACCAUUACUGGUAGAAAAACAUGAGCCAAUCAUGACUUGCUAUAAUAAUUUUAAAAGGUAUAAAAGAAAUAUAGAAGUUAUGAACUAACAGUUAAAUUUCCACCAUGGUUAGAAUUUGUAAAAUUGUUCUGUCUUUUCUUCCCAAUUUAGUAAAAAUUUUCUUCCACUCCGUUAGUAAAAAGCCAUAACCACAAAUCUCUGUGAUAAAUUUUUUUCUAUCUUGGGCUUUAUAUGAGGCUGUUAUAGAACAUCACUUCUAAGAUCCUAGAGAAACUUUUAUCUGACAGAAUACUCUAAAGCUCCAUUUUAGAUCCUUCUGAGGUUUUAGCACAUAAUUUUAUAGUCCCACCUAGAUUUGAUAUUUGCCCUGAAGUUCUAUCUUAAUUUGAGAAUUUUGGAGAGGCUGAGAAUAAGAAAUAGUUUUUAAAUUGAACUCAGCAAGUUAUAUUCCUUUAUAUUUAACAGAUUUUUAACUGUUGCCUCUUCUCUAUAUUUUAUUAGUAAACACCAGGGAGUUGUUUCAACACUCUGUUUGGAAAUAUCCUUGGGUAGACCACAUUGCAUUGAGUAUGCUUUUGACUUUCCGUGUGGAUCACAGGUGACAGUGCUGCUAAACUUUCUGCCACUCCAUGGCAAGGAUCCUCUUUCCUUUAGUUUCCAGUAACAUUUCCUUCACUUUCCUUCAAGUUCUCACUGAAGGAGCCUCCUUGAAGGCCCAAAGGCUUCUGCUAACAAUUCUGAAAGUGAGACAGAUCCUGAAGAUGCUUGCGACUGGAAGCUAUCAACUAACUGCAUUGCUUGAAGCUGAUUCUCUUUUGAAGGGAGUAUUGAGCAAGUCACAUUUAUGGUUAUCACAUAUGACAUUCAUGCCAAGCCAUGUUUUUGCUUCUACCAGCCCUUCUAGGCUUCUCUCCAGCCAUAGCCAGCAUUUCACUCUAUGUCUUUGACCACACAAAGCUUGCAUACCUCAAUACACCUUCAAAUCACUUAAAACCAUAACUUAUUCCAGGCUGAGGUAGGUGCCUCUGAGCACCCUAUAAUACUUACAAUACUGUAAAUAUUUCCAUAGCACCUUUGAAAGAUCUUCAUUACUGUAUUACGGCAUUCUGUGGUACCUGGAUUAAAAUCUUGGCUCUGACACUGAUUAGCUAUGUGACCUUGGCCAAGUUAUUUGGCCCCUCUGUGUCUGAGCUUCAUCUUUAAUAUGGGGAUGAUAAUAUCAUUUAUUAUAGGGUUAUUGGGAUUAAAUGUGAUAGUAAGUGCUUAGAACAUAAUCUAACACAGAGUAAGUGUUCAGUAAGUAUUAGCCAUGAUUAUUAAUGAUCUGAACUAAUGGUUAGGAUAUGUUCAUUGAAAUUGUUGGAUUGCAGAGCAAAACUGACAUAAAAGUGACUAUGCUUUAGAUCCCUACCUUCUCAAGAGACAGGAUGAAACUGAAGUCAUCAGAAUAACC